AGAACAUUGAAAGCUUCUGAUUUGUUGUUUGGGAGUCACUGUUUGGGAAGUUUAUGUAUCAACUGCUAGGGGUUCCUGGUGUCACCUGGGAUGGGAUGAUUUGUGCUUUGUCUUGGAAAUACGGAGUGAACAGAUGAGAAUUCUUGUUAGCCCGGAGAACUAACCGAAUCAAUCCGCGGGCUUCUCUGCAGUAUUGACUCUCCUCGGUUGAACAAGUUAUGUCCUCUGGAUAAAGAUGUGACCAGUAGUUUCUCCAGCCUGUCUAUCCAGCAUGACUGUUCCAGCUGUGAAUGGGUAUACAUUCUAGCUCGGGAUUUGCUCCAGUGUGUGCUCCCUGAGCGGAUUGUAGUGGACAACAGUUACAAUACACCAGACACCAGAUUGCAUUUUCGUAGUAGGGGUAGAGAGUCAGAUGGACUGAAUUUUCCUUAUGGAUUUAUUAUUGUGAUUUGGGGCCUCGGAAGACAAGCAUUCUCUAUCAUCUUUUUCAAUAAAACACACAUCAUUUCAAUCCACAAAAUAUGAAUGCAAAUGUGUUAUGUCACUAUAUCAGGAUUAUUCUAUCCUUUUAUCUAAAAAGUGACAGUUUAAAAAUAAAGUACUCCAGGCAUCAGGGCAUAUGAUUUUAACCACAGCUACCAGGCUGAAGCAGGGAGUUACAAAUUCGAGGCCAGCCUAGGCAACAGAGUAAGACCCUGUCUCAAAAUAAAAAUAAAAGAUAGAAGAACUGGGAAUAUAACUCAGUGGUGGAGUGAUAGUGUGGGAAUCCACCAGAUCCUGGUCAAUCGGGGCUCAACCAGUAUGGUAAAGAAAAAAAAUAUACAUGACAA
Molecule: long non-coding RNA, 830 nt
Organism: Cavia porcellus (domestic guinea pig)
Lineage: Eukaryota; Metazoa; Chordata; Mammalia; Rodentia; Caviidae
Exons: 3
Source: RefSeq, a predicted model, not a curated record